This 381-nucleotide ribosomal RNA is filed under the name uncultured eukaryote. RNAcentral describes it as "partial 18S ribosomal RNA". It matches the Rfam family "Eukaryotic small subunit ribosomal RNA", at positions 592 to 976 of the family's 1831-position model. The record is from RNAcentral.
CAAUAGCGUAUAUUAAAGUUGUUGCGGUAAAAAAGCUCGUAGUUGGAUUUCUACCGAAGAUAGCCGGUCGGGUCUUCGACCUUGUAUCUGGUUUUGUCUUUGGUAUCCUCAUAGGGAACGUUUCUGCGCUUUAUUGCGUGGUGCGGUAUCUAUGACUUUUACUUUGAGGAAAUUAGAGUGUUCACGGCAGGCAAACGCCUUGAAUAUAUUAGCAUGGAAUAAUAACAUAGGAUCUUCGUCCUAUUUUGUUGGUUUCUAGGGCUAAGAUAAUGAUUAAUAGGGAUAAUUGGGGGCAUCUGUAUCAACGCGUCAGAGGUGGAAUUCUUGGAUUGCGUUGCGACAAACUACUGCGAAAGCAUUUGCCAAGGAUGUUUUCAGUGA